This 253-nucleotide ribosomal RNA is filed under the name uncultured bacterium. RNAcentral describes it as "partial 16S ribosomal RNA". It matches the Rfam family "Bacterial small subunit ribosomal RNA", at positions 524 to 776 of the family's 1533-position model. The record is from RNAcentral.
UACAGAGGUCUCAAGCGUUGUUCGGAUUCAUUGGGCGUAAAGGGCGUGUAGGCGGGAAGGUAAGUCGGGCGUGAAAUCCCUGGGCUCAACCCAGGAACUGCACUCGAAACUACUUUUCUUGAGUGCCGGAGAGGAAAGCGGAAUUCCUGGUGUAGAGGUGAAAUUCGUAGAUAUCAGGAGGAACACCAGUGGCGAAGGCGGCUUUCUGGACGGUAACUGACGCUGAGACGCGAAAGCGUGGGGAGCAAACAGG